RNAcentral lists this ribosomal RNA (670 nucleotides) under Emiliania huxleyi. RNAcentral's name for it is "SSU rRNA". It matches the Rfam family "Eukaryotic small subunit ribosomal RNA", at positions 625 to 1300 of the family's 1831-position model. The record is from RNAcentral. Lineage: Eukaryota; Haptophyta; Isochrysidales; Noelaerhabdaceae.
CGCUCGUAGUCGGAUUUCGGGGCGGGCCGACCGGUCUGCCGAUGGGUAUGCACUGGCCGGCGCGUCCUUCCACCCGGAGACCGCGCCUACUCUUAACUGAGCGGGCGCGGGAGACGGGUCUUUUACUUUGAAAAAAUCAGAGUGUUUCAAGCAGGCAGUCGCUCUUGCAUGGAUUAGCAUGGGAUAAUGAAAUAGGACUCUGGUGCUAUUUUGUUGGUUUCGAACACCGGAGUAAUGAUUAACAGGGACAGUCAGGGGCACUCGUAUUCCGCCGAGAGAGGUGAAAUUCUCAGACCAGCGGAAGACGAACCACUGCGAAAGCAUUUGCCAGGGAUGUUUUCACUGAUCAAGAACGAAAGUUAGGGGAUCGAAGACGAUCAGAUACCGUCGUAGUCUUAACCAUAAACCAUGCCGACUAGGGAUUGGAGGAUGUUCCAUUUGUGACUCCUUCAGCACCUUUCGGGAAACUAAAGUCUUUGGGUUCCGGGGGGAGUAUGGUCGCAAGGCUGAAACUUAAAGGAAUUGACGGAAGGGCACCACCAGGAGUGGAGCCUGCGGCUUAAUUUGACUCAACACGGGGAAACUUACCAGGUCCAGACAUUGUGAGGAUUGACAGAUUGAGAGCUCUUUCUUGAUUCGAUGGGUGGUGGUGCAUGGCCGUUCUUAGUUG